RNAcentral lists this ribosomal RNA (469 nucleotides) under uncultured bacterium. Its description in RNAcentral is "partial 16S ribosomal RNA". It matches the Rfam family "Bacterial small subunit ribosomal RNA", at positions 28 to 507 of the family's 1533-position model. The record is from RNAcentral.
GACGAACGCUGGCGGCGUGCUUAACACAUGCAAGUCGAACGGUGAAGCGAGUGCUUGCACUCGUGGAUCAGUGGCGAACGGGUGAGUAACACGUGAGUAACCUGCCCAUCACUCUGGGAUAAGCACUGGAAACGGUGUCUAAUACUGGAUACGACCAACCCUUGCAUGGGGUGUUGGUGGAAAGAUUUAUCGGUGAUGGAUGGACUCGCGGCCUAUCAGCUUGUUGGCGGGGUAAUGGCCCGCCAAGGCGACGACGGGUAGCCGGCCUGAGAGGGUGACCGGCCACACUGGGACUGAGACACGGCCCAGACUCCUACGGGAGGCAGCAGUGGGGAAUAUUGCACAAUGGGCGAAAGCCUGAUGCAGCGACGCCGCGUGAGGGAUGACGGCCUUCGGGUUGUAAACCUCUUUCAGCAGGGAAGAAGCGAAAGUGACGGUACCUGCAGAAGAAGCACCGGCUAACUACGUG